GACGAACGCUGGCGGCGUGCCUAAUACAUGCAAGUAGAACGCUGAAGAGAGGAGCUUGCUCUUCUUGGAUGAGUCGCGAACGGGUGAGUAACGCGUAGGUAACCUGCCUUGUAGCGGGGGAUAACUAUUGGAAACGAUAGCUAAUACCGCAUAACAAUGGAUGACACAUGUCAUUUAUUUGAAAGGGGCAAUUGCUCCACUACAAGAUGGACCUGCGUUGUAUUAGCUAGUAGGUGAGGUAACGGCUCACCUAGGCGACGAUACAUAGCCGACCUGAGAGGGUGAUCGGCCACACUGGGACUGAGACACGGCCCAGACUCCUACGGGAGGCAGCAGUAGGGAAUCUUCGGCAAUGGGGGCAACCCUGACCGAGCAACGCCGCGUGAGUGAAGAAGGUUUUCGGAUCGUAAAGCUCUGUUGUAAGUCAAGAACGAGUGUGAGAGUGGAAAGUUCACACUGUGACGGUAGCUUACCAGAAAGGGACGGCUAACUACGUGCCAGCAGCCGCGGUAAUACGUAGGUCCCGAGCGUUGUCCGGAUUUAUUGGGCGUAAAGCGAGCGCAGGCGGUUUGAUAAGUCUGAAGUUAAAGGCUGUGGCUCAACCAUAGUUCGCUUUGGAAACUGUCAAACUUGAGUGCAGAAGGGGAGAGUGGAAUUCCAUGUGUAGCGGUGAAAUGCGUAGAUAUAUGGAGGAACACCGGUGGCGAAAGCGGCUCUCUGGUCUGUAACUGACGCUGAGGCUCGAAAGCGUGGGGAGCGAACAGGAUUAGAUACCCUGGUAGUCCACGCCGUAAACGAUGAGUGCUAGGUGUUGGAUCCUUUCCGGGAUUCAGUGCCGCAGCUAACGCAUUAAGCACUCCGCCUGGGGAGUACGACCGCAAGGUUGAAACUCAAAGGAAUUGACGGGGGCCCGCACAAGCGGUGGAGCAUGUGGUUUAAUUCGAAGCAACGCGAAGAACCUUACCAGGUCUUGACAUCCCGAUGCUAUUUCUAGAGAUAGAAAGUUACUUCGGUACAUCGGUGACAGGUGGUGCAUGGUUGUCGUCAGCUCGUGUCGUGAGAUGUUGGGUUAAGUCCCGCAACGAGCGCAACCCCUAUUGUUAGUUGCCAUCAUUCAGUUGGGCACUCUAGCGAGACUGCCGGUAAUAAACCGGAGGAAGGUGGGGAUGACGUCAAAUCAUCAUGCCCCUUAUGACCUGGGCUACACACGUGCUACAAUGGUUGGUACAACGAGUUGCGAGUCGGUGACGGCAAGCUAAUCUCUUAAAGCCAAUCUCAGUUCGGAUUGUAGGCUGCAACUCGCCUACAUGAAGUCGGAAUCGCUAGUAAUCGCGGAUCAGCACGCCGCGGUGAAUACGUUCCCGGGCCU
RNAcentral lists this ribosomal RNA (1369 nucleotides) under uncultured bacterium. Its description in RNAcentral is "bacterial SSU rRNA". It matches the Rfam family "Bacterial small subunit ribosomal RNA", at positions 28 to 1381 of the family's 1533-position model. The record is from RNAcentral.